GACGAACCGUGCGAACGUUGUUCGGAAUCACUGGGCUUAAAGGGAGCGUAGGCGGGCUAUCAAGUCUGGGGUGAAAUCCCACGGCUCAACCGUGGAACUGCCUCAGAUACUGACGGCCUCGAGGAAGGUAGGGGCAUGCGGAACUAACGGUGGAGCGGUGAAAUGCGUUGAUAUCGUUAGGAACUCCGGUGGCGAAAGCGGCGUGCUGGACCUUUUCUGACGCUGAGGCUCGAAAGCUAGGGGAGCAAACGGG
RNAcentral lists this ribosomal RNA (253 nucleotides) under uncultured bacterium. RNAcentral's name for it is "partial 16S ribosomal RNA". It matches the Rfam family "Bacterial small subunit ribosomal RNA", at positions 524 to 776 of the family's 1533-position model. The record is from RNAcentral.